CCUACGGGUGACAGCAGUGGGGAAUAUUGGGCAAUGGGCGCAAGCCUGACCCAGCAACGCCGCGUGAAGGAAGAAGGCUUUCGGGUUGUAAACUUCUUUUAUGAGGGACGAAGGAAGUGACGGUACCUCAUGAAUAAGCCACGGCUAACGACGUGCCAGCAGACGCGGUAAUACGUAGGUGGCGAGCGUUCUCCGGAUUUACUGGGUGUCAAGGGCGUGUAGGCGGGCUUGCAAGUCAGAUGUGAAAACUAUGGGGUCUACCCAUAGCCUGCAGUUGAAACUGUAGGUCUUGAGUGAUGGAGAGGCAGGCGGAAUUCCGGGUGUAGCGGUGAAAUGCGUAGAUAUACGGAGGAACACCAGUGGCGAAGGCGGCCUGCUGGACAGUAACUGACGCUGAGGCUCGAAAGCGUGGGGAGCAAACAGGAUUAGAUACCCCGGUAGUC
Molecule: ribosomal RNA, 443 nt
Filed under: uncultured bacterium
Lineage: Bacteria
Description: partial 16S ribosomal RNA
Rfam family: Bacterial small subunit ribosomal RNA
Source: RNAcentral